This is a non-coding RNA of Miniopterus natalensis, 1195 nucleotides long. Lineage: Eukaryota; Metazoa; Chordata; Mammalia; Chiroptera; Miniopteridae. The record is from RefSeq and is a predicted model, not a curated record.
AGUCUUCUGAUGUAGUCUGGUAGAAGAAGCACAUGAAAUGGAUUCAUUGAAACCUUUCCCAGUUCUCUUUGAAUGUUUGAGAAAAUGCCAAUUGGUGUCGCCUAUCAUCAGAACUUUUCAGCAUCUGAUUGCGUCUGAAAAUUAAUUCUCAUAAAACUAUCGGACCAUCUUCAGCAGAUGCUAUAUAUUCCUCUCUGAAUAGUUAGCACCGACAUUUGUCUCUGCAUACUGAAAUAGGACUGUAUCAACUGUUUUAGCUACAAUGAUGCCAUUACUAAUGGCUGCAUGGUCCCCCAUUUUUGGAGAGGGGUGUGCGCUGGUAUAAUCUCAGGCAUCCAUAUUCUUUUGUGGUGAGUGUUAACCAGAAUGCUCUUUUUGUCCAGACUGUCACCAGGUGGUUUUAUAAUUAGAAGAUUCACUCUAAAAUGAAAGUCUGAGGUUGAUGAGGCAGAACAAGCUAUGUUUUAAAGGGGAAUUCUUAUUAGUACAAAAUAUGGGAGGCCAAACAAAAUCAAUUUUUACAGGAAGAUUAACCAAAUUGUUUAUUAUUGUAGUAAACAUUGCAGAAGUCAAGGGGAUGGGCUGUAUUUGCUGUAUUCAAGCAAGAGAGUGAAGUACUAUGGUCUAAUUUAUGCACAGUAAUUGUUCAUCUUAGCAUUCUCAUAGUUUGGGUAGUGACUCAUUUUGUUCUAGGUGACCUUUGUUCUCCAGAAGUGGCUGCUAUUAAAAAGUAGAAGCAAUAAAAAUAAAACUUCGGGUUUUAAAAAGAACCUGAACAUCAAGAGUAAAGCAAGGACUGCUAGUGUUAAGUAAUCUGCUACCUUUAUGCCUUUAUAGUGGGUUUGAAUAUUUGGAAAGUAACUUUUUUUCCUAAAAAACAUUCAGUAAGAUAUCUUUUUGGUGACAUAUUAUUUUAACAUUUAAAAAGGGAAAGCAUGAAAAUCAAGUUAGUUAAUCAUAGGCUUUUCCUUCUUCAUUUUACAUUCCUACUAUUUGGUUUCCUUUCAGGUGUAGAUGGGCAUGUUAGAGGAAGGGAUAUAUUUCAAAGAAAGAGCUUAAUAAAAUAAUUUACUGUCAGCAGGUCACCACUAACAAGCAAAACUUUUAUAAAUCAUGAGACAGUAGACUACAAAAGAUGAAUGAAAACCAAUGCCAAAAGACACAGUUUCCAAGGGGUUUUCAAAAAUGAUGAAAG